GGUAAACCGGUGACUUUUUUGGCUGUUUACCAAAAACAUAGUUAUUUUUUUAAAUAAUGGGACCUGGUAAGUGACUAAUAAUAAAAUAUUUUAUUAAAAUUAGUAAAACACACGCCUUAGCGUGAGGGUGAUAAAGUAGCAUAAUAAAUUGGCAUUUAAUGGAUGUCUGGUAUGAAUGGUGAAACAAUUUUAACAUUGUCUCAAUAAUAAAAUAAUAGAAAUUAAAUUAUAAAUGAAUAUUUUUAAAAAAAUUCGUUAGACGAUAAGACCCCAUAAACCUUUACUAGAAAUAAGAGUAAUUUUUAUUUGAUAGUUUGAUUGGGGCGAUCAUUUUUUUUUUUAACAAAAAUAUAUAAAAAAAAAAUAAUAAUUAUUUAUCAUAUACUUUAUUUAAUAAGGAAAUCAAGUAAAAAAAUUAAUUAAGACCAUAUUUUUUUAUAUAAAAAAAUAUACAUUUGAUAAAAGGUACUUUGGGGAUAACAGCGUUACAAUAAUUAUUAGAAGAUAUAAUAAUUAAAAAUGUACGACCUCGAUGUUGAAUUAAAAUUUCCUUUUGAUGCAGGAGUUAAAAGGGGUUGGACUGUCCUUCCAUUAAUAAUCUUACAUGAUUUGAGUUC
This 617-nucleotide ribosomal RNA is filed under the name Pegantha rubiginosa. RNAcentral's name for it is "partial large subunit ribosomal RNA". It matches the Rfam family "Bacterial large subunit ribosomal RNA", at positions 1781 to 2612 of the family's 2925-position model. The record is from RNAcentral. Lineage: Eukaryota; Metazoa; Cnidaria; Hydrozoa; Narcomedusae; Solmarisidae.